GCAAGUCGAACGAACUUCCGUUAAUUGAUUAUGACGUGCUUGCACUGAAUGAGAAUUUAACACGAAGUGAGUGGCGGACGGGUGAGUAACMCKUGGGUAACCUGCCCAGAAGCAGGGGAUAACACCUGGAAACAGAUGCUAAUACCGUAUAACAGAGAAAACCGCCUGGUUUUCUUUUAAAAGAUGGCUCUGCUAUCACUUCUGGAUGGACCCGCGGCGCAUUAGCUAGUUGGUGAGGUAACGGCUCACCAAGGCGAUGAUGCGUAGCCGACCUGAGAGGGUAAUCGGCCACAUUGGGACUGAGACACGGCCCAGACUCCUACGGGAGGCAGCAGUAGGGAAUCUUCCACAAUGGACGCAAGUCUGAUGGAGCAACGCCGCGUGAGUGAAGAAGGGUUUCGGCUCGUAAAGCUCUGUUGUUAAAGAAGAACGUGGGUGAGAGUAACUGUUCACCCAGUGACGGUAUUUAACCAGAAAGCCACGGCUAACUACGUGCCAGCAGCCGCGGUAAUACGUAGGUGGCAAGCGUUAUCCGGAUUUAUUGGGCGUAAAGCGAGCGCAGGCGGUCUUUUAAGUCUAAUGUGAAAGCCUUCGGCUCAACCGAAGAAGUGCAUUGGAAACUGGGAGACUUGAGUGCAGAAGAGGAYAGUGGAACUCCAUGUGUAGCGGUGAAAUGCGUAGAUAUAUGGAAGAACACCAGUGGCGAAGGCGGCUGUCUGGUCUGUAACUGACGCUGAGGCUCGAAAGCAUGGGUAGCGAACAGGAUUAGAUACCCUGGUAGUCCAUGCCGUAAACGAUGAUUACUAAGUGUUGGAGGGUUUCCGCCCUUCAGUGCUGCAGCUAACGCAUUAAGUAAUCCGCCUGGGGAGUACGACCGCAAGGUUGAAACUCAAAAGAAUUGACGGGGGCCCGCACAAGCGGUGGAGCAUGUGGUUUAAUUCGAAGCUACGCGAAGAACCUUACCAGGUCUUGACAUCUUCUGCCAACCUAAGAGAUUAGGCGUUCCCUUCGGGGACAGAAUGACAGGUGGUGCAUGGUUGUCGUCAGCUCGUGUCGUGAGAUGUUGGGUUAAGUCCCGCAACGAGCGCAACCCUUAUUACUAGUUGCCAGCAUUCAGUUGGGCACUCUAGUGAGACUGCCGGUGACAAACCGGAGGAAGGUGGGGACGACGUCAAAUCAUCAUGCCCCUUAUGACCUGGGCUACACACGUGCUACAAUGGAUGGUACAACGAGUYGCGAAACCGCGAGGUUUAGCUAAUCUCUUAAAACCAUUCUCAGUUCGGACUGUAGGCUGCAACUCGCCUACACGAAGUCGGAAUCGCUAGUAAUCGCGGAUCAGCAUGCCGCGGKGAAUACGUUCCCGGGCCUUGUACACACCGCCCGUYUUCACCAUGAGAGUUUGUAACACCCAAAGCCGGUGGGGUAAC
RNAcentral lists this ribosomal RNA (1427 nucleotides) under Pediococcus sp. Its description in RNAcentral is "bacterial SSU rRNA". It matches the Rfam family "Bacterial small subunit ribosomal RNA". The record is from RNAcentral. Lineage: Bacteria; Bacillati; Bacillota; Bacilli; Lactobacillales; Lactobacillaceae.